GACUUACUCAGUGAAUAUUAAAGAUCAUUAGAUAACAUGAACAUAACUGACUGUAAAUACCAGGUUUUCGAUGGUUGUCAUCGACAGUUAGCCACUGUUGGAUGCCUUAUUAUGACGUGGCGUGAGCGCAAGCUGGUCGACACAACAACAAAAUGACCUUGUGCGGCGCAAGCCAUUAAAAUCAAUGGGUUUUAUAGUGCAGCACACACCACAUCCUGUGUAAAACCCCACAUUAGCAUACUAUCUAUAUGGAGAAGUAGGCCUAUAAAUGUAUUAAUGUGUCUUGAUCGUAUCUCUGUUUAUGAAGGUGAAAAGACACUUGGAAACCUUUUAAGCAGCAAGACGCUUUGCCAGCACUACUCAAAUUUCCAACCAAAAUGUUUCAGAGCACAGUGGUACCAGAGGUCUCCCUUUCGACUGCAGAGAGUAACUAUCCAUUACACUCCAUGACAGAAUGGAUCACACUCAUGCACAUUGGCAUCUGCGCUGUUUUGAUGGUGGUGGCUUUGUUUUAUUGUCUGUGCAACUACUCUAAAAUAUGCAGACAAAACCAUAACAGAGCAGAAAUCACACGUGAAGAAUGCGACCCAUCUGAUCCUCACAGCAGCACCAGAAACACACAGGCAAGUUGAGUUAAUAUAAUAAAGAGUCUUUAACUUCAAUUACAAUCAGAAAGACUUGAAGUGUGUUUGAAUAUUCCUGAAUUAAAAUGCUUUAUUGUUUCAACU
Misgurnus anguillicaudatus (oriental weatherfish) is the source of this 728-nucleotide long non-coding RNA. RefSeq lists it as uncharacterized. The record is from RefSeq and is a predicted model, not a curated record. Lineage: Eukaryota; Metazoa; Chordata; Actinopteri; Cypriniformes; Cobitidae.